RNAcentral lists this ribosomal RNA (522 nucleotides) under uncultured bacterium. RNAcentral's name for it is "bacterial SSU rRNA". It matches the Rfam family "Bacterial small subunit ribosomal RNA", at positions 777 to 1297 of the family's 1533-position model. The record is from RNAcentral.
AAUAGAUACCCCGGUAGUCCACGCCGUAAACGAUGAGUGCUAAGUGUUAGAGGGUUUCCGCCCUUUAGUGCUGCAGCUAACGCAUUAAGCACUCCGCCUGGGGAGUACGGUCGCAAGACUGAAACUCAAAGGAAUUGACGGGGGCCCGCACAAGCGGUGGAGCACGUGGUUUAAUUCGAAGCAACGCGAAGAACCUUACCAGGUCUUGACAUCCUCUGACAACUCUAGAGAUAGAGCGUUCCCCUUCGGGGGACAGAGUGACAGGUGGUGCAUGGUUGUCGUCAGCUCGUGUCGUGAGAUGUUGGGUUAAGUCCCGCAACGAGCGCAACCCUUGAUCUUAGUUGCCAGCAUUUAGUUGGGCACUCUAAGGUGACUGCCGGUGACAAACCGGAGGAAGGUGGGGAUGACGUCAAAUCAUCAUGCCCCUUAUGACCUGGGCUACACACGUGCUACAAUGGAUGGUACAAAGGGCUGCAAGACCGCGAGGUCAAGCCAAUCCCAUAAAACCAUUCUCAGUUCGGA